UAAGUAGAAACUAUGAAUAAUGAUACAGAUUUUGAUUUGGUGAAAAAGGAAGCAGAAACUAUGAAUAAUGAUAAAGAUAUUGAGAAAAUUGGUGUGAGAUUUAAAAUGAUGGAUGAUGGAUUAUAUAGAGGAUUCUAAAAUGAUUAGGUUGUAGAUAGUGUCACGUGGCAUGUCGUCAUUCGUUAAAAAUCUAAUCGAAAUCUAUCCUAAAAAAUUCUGAAAAGAUAAUGACACGUGGCACGACGACAUUGGAUAAAAAUCUUAUCGAAAUCCAUCACUAAUAAUUAUCUUUUCGGAUAAUGACACAUGGCGCAAUGAGAACGAUUUAAAAUCUAAUCGAAAUCUAUCCUCAAAGAUUAUGAAAAGAUAACGACACGCGGCAUGAUGACAUUCGAUAAAAAUCUUAUCGAAAUCUAUGACCAAUAAUAGUCAUUUUGGGUAAAUGACACGUGGUGUAACGAGAACGAUUUAAAAUAUCUUAUCCGAAAUUACAAAUAAAUUUAUUUAGUAUGAUUUUGUAAAAAAAAUAAUUAAUAAAUAUUUUAUUGCCUAUUGCCAAGGCUAUUCAAGUGCAAUGGUGGAGAUGCAAAAUGCAGUUACUGUUCAUUAUGGCAGUUACUGUUCACAGGGUGGAUUGAAUAAUGGAUUGCCUGGAGGGAGGGCUCCAAGGGUGGAGUUGCUCUAAUGGAUUUGGGUCCAUAACCAUGAGUUCCAAUGUACGAGAUCUUGUAGUACUUAGAGAUGUUUUGCAUAUCAUACUUUAAACAUAGUAUAUAUGUCCAAUUUUAAAUGAGGUCUCGAUUGCAGGUUCACCUCAUAAAAUAUUUAGUAAUACAAGUUGUUGAGGUCUAUUACAAUUCCAUUCAACAACUUUAAAACAUUUCACUUUCAUACCUCAAGUACUAUUUUAUUUCAAUAUAAUACAUCCGUUAGAUUUUCCAUU
RNAcentral lists this long non-coding RNA (943 nucleotides) under Malus domestica (apple). RNAcentral's name for it is "long non-coding RNA (MDOM_LNC000797)". Lineage: Eukaryota; Viridiplantae; Streptophyta; Magnoliopsida; Rosales; Rosaceae. The record is from RNAcentral.